CCGCCGCCGCCGCCGCUGAGGCCGCCGCGUCCCAUCCCGGCAACCACUGCAACGAGCGCUUAGCCGCCGCCAGCGCUGCCGCCGCCGCCGCCGCCGCCGUUGACGACGGGUUGCCAAAUGGGGCUAAUGGCCCUGACGGUGGCUGCAACGGAACCAACUGCUCCCUGUGCCGCCAAAUUAAGGUGGUUGGCGGCGGGGUGGUUAGUUGGUUUACUUUUCCCCUUCG
RNAcentral lists this long non-coding RNA (226 nucleotides) under Volvox carteri. RNAcentral's name for it is "long non-coding RNA (VCAR_LNC001168)". Lineage: Eukaryota; Viridiplantae; Chlorophyta; Chlorophyceae; Chlamydomonadales; Volvocaceae. The record is from RNAcentral.